This is a long non-coding RNA of Homo sapiens (human), 1612 nucleotides long. RefSeq lists it as uncharacterized. The transcript is spliced from 2 exons. The record is from RefSeq and is a predicted model, not a curated record. NCBI's taxonomy places the organism in Eukaryota, Metazoa, Chordata, Mammalia, Primates, Hominidae.
GGCAAGCCGCUUGGGUCCCCUUCCAUGUUGUGGAAGCUUUGUUCUUUCACUCUUCACAAUAAAUCUUGCUGCUGCUCACUCUUUGGCUCUGCACCACCUUUAUGAGCUAUAACACUCACCACGAAGGUCUGCAGCUUCACUCCUGAGGCCAGCAAGACCACAAACUCACCGGAAGGAACAAACAACCCCAAACGCACCGCCUUUAAGAGCUGUAACACUCACCGCAAAGGUCUGCAGCUUAAUUCCUGAAGUCAGCGAGACCACGAACCCACCAGAAGGAAGAAACUCUGGACACAUCUGAACAUAUGAAGGAACAAACUCUGGACACACCAUCUUUAAGAACUGUAACACUCACUGCGAGGGUCCACGGCUUCAUUCUUGAAGUCAGCGAGACCAAGAACCCAGUAAUUCCGGACACAUUUUGGUGACCACGAAGGGACUAUCGCCUAUCACCAAGCAGUAAGACUAUCACCAAGCAGUGAGACCACUGCCUAUCGCCAAGCGAAUCGAGGCCAUCAAGCUACAGAUGGUCUUACAAAUGGAACCCCAAAUGAGCUCAAUUAACAGCUUCUACCAAGGACCCCUGGACUGACCUGCUGGGCCCUUCCACUAGCCUAAAGAGUUCCCUUCUGGAGGAGACUACAACUGCAGGGCCGCUUCUUCGCCCCUAUCCAGCAGGAAGUAGCUACAGUGGUCAUCAGCCAAAUUCCCAACAGCAGUUGGGGUGUCCUGUUUAGAGGGGGGAUUGAGAGGUGACAACGUGCUAGCAGCCCUUGCUCGCUCUCGGUGCCUCCUCGGCCUCAGCAUCUGCUCUGGCCACGCUUGAGGAACCCUUCAACCUGCCGCUGUGCUGUGGGGGCCCCUCUCUGGGGCUGGCUGAGGCCGGAGCCAGCUCUCUCUGCUUGUGGGGAGGUGUGGAGGGAGAGGUGCGGGCAAGAGCCGGGGCUGCAUGCAGCACUCGCAGGUGGCAUGGGUUCCAGGUGGGCGCAGGCUCGGAGGGCCCCGCACUCUGCACGGCCGGCCGGCACUUGCUGGGCUUGAUUGGGGUAUGAGCUCCCUCUGGGCUGCCGGAGUGCCUGGGCUAGGUGCUGCAAAGUCCCGUGGCAAGUGCCAUUGAGAGGUGAAGCCGGCUGGGCUUCUGGGUCGGGUGGGGACCUGGAGAAUUUUUCUGUCAAGCUAAAGGUUUGUAAACACACUGAUCAGUACUCUUUGUCUAGCUAAAGGUUUGUAAAUGCACCAAUCAGCAUUCUGUGUCUAGCUAAAGGUUUGUAAAUGCACCACUCAGUGCACUGUGUCUAGCUAAUCGGGUAGGGGACUUGGAGAACUUUUGUGUCUAGCUAAAGGAUUGUAAAUGCACCAAUCAGUGCUCUGUGUCUAGCUAAAGGUUUGUAAAUGCACCAAUCAGCACUCUGUCAUAACGGACCAAUCAGCUCUCUGUAAAACGGGCCAAUCACCUCUCUGUAAAAUGAACCAAUCAGUAGGAUGUGGGUGGGGCCAGAUAAGGGAAUAAAAGCAGGCCACCCGAGCCAGCAGUGGCAACCCGCUUGGGUGCCCUUCCAUGCUAUGGAAGCUUUGUUCUGUCGCUCUUUGCAAUAAAUCUUGCUGCUGCUCA